RNAcentral lists this ribosomal RNA (408 nucleotides) under Triticum aestivum (bread wheat). RNAcentral's name for it is "partial small subunit ribosomal RNA". The record is from RNAcentral. Lineage: Eukaryota; Viridiplantae; Streptophyta; Magnoliopsida; Poales; Poaceae.
AUGGCGAUCGCCCCGCCACAGCAACCUCUCCAUGUGCUAGAUCCGGUGGGAUCCGCCUCCAUCGCGAGGACGGAGGAGUGGGAGGCCAGGGAGCGGUUCUCGUCGGUGGAGCUCGCCGACAAGAACUUCAAGAUCGACGACCUGGAGCUCACGCCGGAGGAGAUGGAGAUGUACAUCGACCUCCACCCAUUCACCAACACGACGCCCUACACCGUGGUGGAGACCAUGUCGGUGGCCAAGGUCGUGGUGCUGUUCCGCUCCGUCGUGCUCCGGCACAUGCUCAUCAUGCCCAAGUUCCAGGGCCCCGAGAUAUCUCCGCUUGUGGGGAUCUUGACGCGGCAGGACCUGAGAGCGCACAACAUCCUCGGCGCGUUUCCGCACCUGGCAAAGAAGAGCAAGGCGCACUGA